RNAcentral lists this small RNA (120 nucleotides) under Arabidopsis thaliana (thale cress). RNAcentral's name for it is "ATSL202300". The record is from RNAcentral. Lineage: Eukaryota; Viridiplantae; Streptophyta; Magnoliopsida; Brassicales; Brassicaceae.
GAGUUUGAUAGGCUCUGCAGCCUAACAAAGAUCAAUGGAGUUAGUGAGGAUGGCUUCAAGCUCAGAUUGUUUCCAUUCUCUCUUGGAGACAAAGCCCAUCAGUGGGAAAAGUCGCUUCCU